RNAcentral lists this ribosomal RNA (548 nucleotides) under Phyllactinia fraxini. RNAcentral describes it as "partial large subunit ribosomal RNA". It matches the Rfam family "Eukaryotic large subunit ribosomal RNA", at positions 1 to 550 of the family's 3401-position model. The record is from RNAcentral. Lineage: Eukaryota; Fungi; Ascomycota; Leotiomycetes; Helotiales; Erysiphaceae.
UUGACCUCGAAUCAGGUAGGGAUACCCGCUGAACUUAAGCAUAUCAAUAAGCGGAGGAAAAGAAACCAACCGGGAUUACCCUAGUAACGGCGAGUGAAGCGGUAACAGCUCAAAUUUGAAAUCUGGCUCCCUGCGGAGUCCGAGUUGUAAUUUGUAGAAGAUGCUUUGGGUGCUCGGCCCGGUCUAAGUUCCUUGGAACAGGACGUCGUAGAGGGUGAGAAUCCCGUAUGCGGCCGGGGUGGGUGCUCGUGUAAAGCUCUUUCGACGAGUCGAGUUGUUUGGGAAUGCAGCUCAAAAUGGGUGGUAAAUUUCAUCUAAAGCUAAAUAUGGGCCAGAGACCGAUAGCGCACAAGUAGAGUGAUCGAAAGAUGAAAAGCACUUUGGAAAGAGAGUUAAACAGUACGUGAAAUUGUUGAAAGGGAAGCGCUUGCAACCAGACUUGGGCGUCGCUGAUCAUCCAAAGUUUUCUUUGGUGCACUCGACGACGUACAGGCCAGCAUCGGUUGGGGUGGUGGGAGAAAGGUUGUAGGAACGUAGCUCUUUUCGGG